Molecule: long non-coding RNA, 765 nt
Filed under: Prunus dulcis (almond)
Lineage: Eukaryota; Viridiplantae; Streptophyta; Magnoliopsida; Rosales; Rosaceae
Description: sRNA ncRNA
Source: RNAcentral
GUCUAUGAUCUCCUAGUUUAUGAUUUAGAUAACCCUCCCUAAACCCUUUUAAAAUACAUUUAGCUAUCAAACUAUCUUUUAUGAUAUCUAAUUUGAUGUAAUGACCUACUUGCUCAACUUUAUUUCAUAAACUCAAGAAUCAGAAAACAAAGGAAAAUUGAGAGUAAAUUAUCUACUUCACAUACAGGAAUAUAAUUUUAUAUUACAUUAAUUUAUGAUGGUUCUCCUUUAUAAGGUUAAGGUUUCCUAGACUCAACAUAUUUUUAAGAGAACAUCUUAUGGGCAUCAUAGACAUUGGAGCUAAGUUGGAGAACCUCAAGAUGCCCAUUGAAGAUUCACCAAUGGUCCACUAUUGUCCCAAUUCCCUUCCUGGUGAUGAGUACAAAAACAUCUGUUAAGCACCUACAGCUACAGUGGCACCAAAAAAGUCUGGGAUCUUGAUGAAUUGAUUUCCAUUUGUGUGCGUGAAGAGCAGAACCCCAAAAAGGAAAAAGCUGAAAAACAUGUGAAUCUAGCAAGUGAUUAAGACUCGGACUAAGGAUGUUAUUUAAGAUUGGUUUCAACCAUGAGAAACGCCAUAGUAACAACUUUACGGAAAUAAGUCUCGUGUAUGUUAGUACAAAGUGUUACUUUUGUAGGAAGAUUGGUCUUUUCAAGAGGGAUUGUAGAAAGUACAUUGGGUUGAGAAUAGGGGUGGGCAUCAAACCGGUUGAAUUGAUGAAACCGGCCGAACGAAACCGUACUUACUAGUUUGAUUUGGUUUUU